AGUGAACGCUGGCGGCAGGCCUAACACAUGCAAGUCGAGCGGCAGCGCGUCCGACCACCCUCGGGUGGUCGGAUGGCGGCGAGCGGCGGACGGGUGAGGAAUGCAUCGGAAUCUGCCUCGUUGUGGGGGAUAACGUAGGGAAACUUACGCUAAUACCGCAUACGACCUACGGGUGAAAGUGGGGGACCUUCGGGCCUCACGCGAUGAGAUGAGCCGAUGCCGGAUUAGCUAGUUGGCGGGGUAAAGGCCCACCAAGGCGACGAUCCGUAGCUGGUCUGAGAGGAUGAUCAGCCACACUGGGACUGAGACACGGCCCAGACUCCUACGGGAGGCAGCAGUGGGGAAUCUUAGACAAUGGGGGCAACCCUGAUCUAGCCAUGCCGCGUGAGUGAUGAAGGCCCUAGGGUUGUAAAGCUCUUUCAGCUGGGAAGAUAAUGACGGUACCAGCAGAAGAAGCCCCGGNUAACUCCGUGCCAGCAGCCGCGGUAAAG
RNAcentral lists this ribosomal RNA (491 nucleotides) under uncultured bacterium. RNAcentral's name for it is "bacterial SSU rRNA". It matches the Rfam family "Bacterial small subunit ribosomal RNA", at positions 30 to 525 of the family's 1533-position model. The record is from RNAcentral.